CCUAAUCACUACUGUACAUCGCUCUGGAUAAGAGUGUCUGCUAAAUUACAUAAA
Non-coding RNA from Salmo salar (Atlantic salmon), 54 nucleotides. Lineage: Eukaryota; Metazoa; Chordata; Actinopteri; Salmoniformes; Salmonidae. The record is from Rfam.